Molecule: ribosomal RNA, 557 nt
Filed under: uncultured bacterium
Lineage: Bacteria
Description: bacterial SSU rRNA
Rfam family: Bacterial small subunit ribosomal RNA
Source: RNAcentral
ACGGGUGAGUAACGCGUGAGCAACCUGCCUUUCGGAGGGGGACAACAGCUGGAAACGGCUGCUAAUACCGCAUAACGUAUUUGGGUGGCAUCAUCUGAAUACCAAAGAUUUAUCGCCGAAAGAUGGGCUCGCGUCUGAUUAGCUAGUUGGUAGGGUAACGGCCUACCAAGGCUUCGAUCAGUAGCCGGACUGAGAGGUUGAACGGCCACAUUGGGACUGAGAUACGGCCCAGACUCCUACGGGAGGCAGCAGUGGGGAAUAUUGGGCAAUGGGGGCAACCCUGACCCAGCAACGCCGCGUGAAGGAAGAAGGCUUUCGGGUUGUAAACUUCUUUGACCAGGGACGAAAAAAAUGACGGUACCUGGAAAACAAGCCACGGCUAACUACGUGCCAACAGCCGCGGUAAUACGUAGGUGGCAAGCGUUGUCCGGAUUUACUGGGUGUAAAGGGCGCGUAGGCGGGAAUGCAAGUCAGAUGUGAAAUGCUGGGGCUUAACCCUGGAACUGCAUUUGAAACUGUAUUUCUUGAGUAUCGGAGAGGCAGGCGGAAUUCCAAGU